AAAACUGCAUUCUCCCUGACUACUAGGUCAUGGCAUGAGCGAAGAGGCUUGGGCCUACAGAGGUGUGAUGAUGGUGGGGGACCCUGGCAGCUUCCACAGAGAAACACACCAGUUGAGUGGAGCAGGAGAUGCUGUGGGCUGCAGCAGCUGGUCAUGGGGAGAAACAAGCUGACUUGUGGUGAGGACAUUUAGAUAGCCUCAUGGAAAGUCCCACCUGGGAAGGAAGAGAAACCUCCAACACCCAUGUAAAUGAGCCAUUCUGCAAGCACAUCCCCAAGACCCAAUCAAGCCUUCAGAUGACUACAGCCCAGCUACAGCUUGACUUCAACUUUAUGAGAGACUCUCAGUUACCAAGAGAAUUCUCCUGGGAAGGAUGAUGUCAUGUCAGCUCAAGAAACAAGAGCAUGUUGGAAGCAGCACUGGGAAAUUGAUCAAGACUAUAUUCUCUUCUAUUGCAAGGGAUUGAGCAAGUAUUUUGAAACAACAACAACCAACCAAACAAGAAGAAAACCUCACCUAAAAGUGUUCCAUUGGUUGGUUUCAUGGCUACAAUGAAAUGAGGAAUUUUGCUCUGCCGAGUCCUGCCAUCAUGAUGUCUCUGCUUUGGAGGCAGUUGAACAUGGACUGACACCUCUCAAAGCGUGAGCCAAAAUAAACCUCUCCUCCUUUACAUUACUGGUGCUGGUCAUUUUGUCCCAGCAACUGGAAAGCUGACUAAUACCCAGUCCUCAUGAGAUUAUGUCUGCUGACAUUGCACAGUGAACAGGGUGGCCACAUUGAUGUGUUGUUUUGCAAAAGAAGACAGCAGAGAGCUCACAGAUGGUGAGCCAGGUGCAGUCUAUUUUUUUGUAGGAACAGAGGGAGCAGGUUGGGGGUCUAAAGCAAGAAC
This 889-nucleotide long non-coding RNA is filed under the name Heterocephalus glaber (naked mole-rat). RNAcentral describes it as "lncRNA (ENSHGLG00000025735.2)". The record is from RNAcentral. Lineage: Eukaryota; Metazoa; Chordata; Mammalia; Rodentia; Bathyergidae.